This 649-nucleotide ribosomal RNA is filed under the name uncultured Pseudomonadota bacterium. Its description in RNAcentral is "bacterial SSU rRNA". It matches the Rfam family "Bacterial small subunit ribosomal RNA", at positions 74 to 720 of the family's 1533-position model. The record is from RNAcentral. Lineage: Bacteria; Pseudomonadati; Pseudomonadota.
GCUUGCUUCUUUGCUGACGAGUGGCGGACGGGUGAGUAAUGUCUGGGAAACUGCCUGAUGGAGGGGGAUAACUACUGGAAACGGUAGCUAAUACCGCAUAACGUCGCAAGACCAAAAAGGGGGACCUUCGGGCCUCUUGCCAUCGGAUGUGCCCAGAUGGGAUUAGCUAGUAGGUGGGGUAACGGCUCACCUAGGCGACGAUCCCUAGCUGGUCUGAGAGGAUGACCAGCCACACUGGAACUGAGACACGGUCCAGACUCCUACGGGAGGCAGCAGUGGGGAAUAUUGCACAAUGGGCGCAAGCCUGAUGCAGCCAUGCCGCGUGUAUGAAGAAGGCCUUCGGGUUGUAAAGUACUUUCAGCGGGGAGGAAGGGAGUAAAGUUAAUACCUUUGCUCAUUGACGUUACCCGCAGAAGAAGCACCGGCUAACUCCGUGCCAGCAGCCGCGGUAAUACGGAGGGUGCAAGCGUUAAUCGGAAUUACUGGGCGUAAAGCGCACGCAGGCGGUUUGUUAAGUCAGAUGUGAAAUCCCCGGGCUCAACCUGGGAACUGCAUCUGAUACUGGCAAGCUUGAGUCUCGUAGAGGGGGGUAGAAUUCCAGGUGUAGCGGUGAAAUGCGUAGAGAUCUGGAGGAAUGCCGGUGGCGAAG